GCCUGGGAAUUGAGAUAAAAGAGACUCGGUAGCUUUCCUCCAAGUACCUACUUUUUAAAUUUAUUUUUUAUUUUUUAUUUUAUUUAUUUAUUUAUUUAUUUAUUUAGCUGCAAAAAGCUUUAUUUUCAUUUGGUCCAUGGCUUGGGAAAGGGCUCCAGGCUUAAAAAGCUGCCUAGUGGCUGCAAGGAGACUCGGGCACAAGCCCUGGCACCUGGGGGAUGCCAGAGGGACCCUCUCAAGAGGCUGCUGGGCUCCAGAAGCUUCUAAUCGUGCUUGAGGGUGAGCCUUUCGAAGAGAUACUCGCCCAGCCCAGCCUGGGGGCCGGACAGCCUGCGGAGGUUCGUCAGGUGGUCGCCCAUCUUCUUGAUGAGUUUCACCUCCUCAUUUAGAAAGUGAUUCUCCAGAAGCAGGGCGGCUUCCAUGGCGUCGAGGGUGUUACCCCACUCAUCUUGGGACGGCUUCUGCACGUCCUGGAAGAGCCACAUCGUCAAGGUCGAAAUAGAAGCCCAGAGAGAGGUAGGUGUAGGAGGCCCGCAGAUGCGCGUUGACCAGGCGGCUGACGGCGGCCUCCACCUCGGUGGAAUAAUUCUGACGCAUCUGGGAGGUCAUGGCUGGUCGGUAACGAGGAGCUAAGUUCAAAAUCGGGUGUUGGCUGGUCCCGAAGGCAGACGGUGGGCAAGAAGAUGGCUUGAUUGACGUUGAUGUUGCGACUGGAAAGAAGGCUGGAGGGUGGUCAGAGGCUGGUAAUAGGGGCGUCCCUGGGUCUGUUCCGUCCAAACACUGUUGAAGCAAGAGACAGAGCCGCAGGACCACCGGGCACACUGCCUCUACUUUUUUAAAAGACCUUAUUUAUGAUCACAUAUCAAUUCCUG
Molecule: long non-coding RNA, 872 nt
Filed under: Suricata suricatta (meerkat)
Lineage: Eukaryota; Metazoa; Chordata; Mammalia; Carnivora; Herpestidae
Description: lncRNA (ENSSSUG00005019704.1)
Source: RNAcentral